GUUGACGGAGCGAAGCGACGUCAAACCGAUAAAACAGCAGUGUAAAGUGAGCCGCAGGGCGCUUUGCGCGACAGCGCAAAGGCAGGCGGUUUCGCGUAGCGAAAGCGAAUGCUUUGGGGUGGGGUGACUGCGUACCUUUUGUAUAAUGGGUCAGCGACUUAUAUUCUGUAGCAAGGUUAACCGAAUAGGGGAGCCGGAGGGAAACCGAGUCUUAAUUGGGCGUUAAGUUGCAGGGUAUAGACCCGAAACCCGGUGAUCUAGCCAUGGGCAGGUUGAAGGUUGGGUAACACUAACUGGAGGACCGAACCGACUAAUGUUGAAAAAUUAGCGGAUGACCUGUGGCUGGGGGUGAAAGGCCAAUCAAACCGGGAGAUAGCUGGUUCUCCCCGAAAGCUAUUUAGGUAGCGCCUCGUGAAUUCAUCUCCGGGGGUAGAGCACUGUUUCGGCUAGGGGGCCAUCCCGGCUUACCAACCCGAUGCAAACUGCGAAUACCGGAGAAUGUUAUCACGGGAGACACACGGCGGGUGCUAACGUCCGUCGUGAAGAGGGAAACAACCCAGACCGCCAGCUAAGGUCCCAAAGUCAUGGUUAAGUGGGAAACGAUGUGGGAAGGCCCAGACAGCCAGGAUGUUGGCUUAGAAGCAGCCAUCAUUUAAAGAAAGCGUAAUAGCUCACUGGUCGAGUCGGCCUGCGCGGAAGAUGUAACGGGGCUAAACCAUGCACCGAAGCUGCGGCAGCGACACUGUGUGUUGUUGGGUAGGGGAGCGUUCUGUAAGCCUGUGAAGGUGUGUCGUGAGGCAUGCUGGAGGUAUCAGAAGUGCGAAUGCUGACAUAAGUAACGAUAAAGCGGGUGAAAAGCCCGCUCGCCGGAAGACCAAGGGUUCCUGUCCAACGUUAAUCGGGGCAGGGUGAGUCGACCCCUAAGGCGAGGCCGAAAGGCGUAGUCGAUGGGAAACGGGUUAAUAUUCCCGUACUUGGUGUUACUGCGAAGGGGGGACGGAGAAGGCUAUGUUGGCCGGG
This 1020-nucleotide ribosomal RNA is filed under the name Salmonella enterica. RNAcentral describes it as "partial 23S ribosomal RNA". The stretch from base 104 to 1020 matches the Rfam family "Bacterial large subunit ribosomal RNA", at positions 572 to 1495 of the family's 2925-position model. Lineage: Bacteria; Pseudomonadati; Pseudomonadota; Gammaproteobacteria; Enterobacterales; Enterobacteriaceae. The record is from RNAcentral.